Molecule: unclassified non-coding RNA, 162 nt
Filed under: uncultured Ascomycota
Lineage: Eukaryota; Fungi; Ascomycota
Description: sequence contains ITS2
Source: RNAcentral
CACCCCUCUGGUCCCUAUCGGGCGCCUGGUGCUGGGGCCCUACGUGCGCCGUAGGCCCCGAAUCGCAGUGGCGGGCUCGCCGCGAUCCCGAGCGUUAGUAGCGUUACGUCGCUCCGGGCGCGCGGCGGGCGCCGGCCGUGAAAAGACACACAUUCUUCCAAA